Molecule: long non-coding RNA, 201 nt
Filed under: Nicotiana benthamiana
Lineage: Eukaryota; Viridiplantae; Streptophyta; Magnoliopsida; Solanales; Solanaceae
Description: long non-coding RNA (NBEN_LNC032515)
Source: RNAcentral
CUCGUCUGCCCAAAGUUCUUUCCUUAUACCCAUUUCUUUAAGAUCAUUGCGAGCUUUAAGAUUGUCUUUUGACUUUUCAGUAUCAUUGAGCAAAGUAUAUAUCACAUUCUCACACACAUUCUUCUCAAUGUCCAUAAGGUCUACAUUAUGACGCAACAAGUUUGAUUCUCAAUAAGGAAGAUAAAAAAUAUGCUUCUCUUU